RNAcentral lists this long non-coding RNA (8094 nucleotides) under Gallus gallus (chicken). The record is from RNAcentral. Lineage: Eukaryota; Metazoa; Chordata; Aves; Galliformes; Phasianidae.
GCGGCACGGCGCGAUGGAGGACUGCGAAAGAACCGCGCCGGCCGAAGACGCCGCGCACUACCGCCUCUCGGCCGCGGCGACGGCACCGCGGUGCGCCUGGAGCCGCUGCUGGGCGCCUCCAUCUGGCAGCGCUUCCGGCUGCGAGAGAGCAGAUCCUGUGUGGAUACUCAGAAAGCACUGAGCACACCAAGCUGAAUGUUGUAAUCUGGAAGCAAGUCUGGGUCAUGCUAUGGAAACGCAUGGAGUGAGGUGGGGAGAUAAGAAGAAGAAAGGAGUGGGGCUAAAAGUGGAAAUGGCACGUUCCAGAGAUGAGAAGAAGAGAAAAAUGAUGGAGUAUUAAAAUGAUGGGAGAAAAAACAAGAGCAACCGCCACCAAGAGAGGCAGCGAGGCAUAUUUCAAAGGAAACUGGAAGCAGGAGAGUUGCAGUUAGGUUCAGUGGUGCGUGAGUUCAUCUAAAGGUCUGGCUGGACUGGAGGGGAGGCACCUCAUCUGUACCAACUUUCUGUCCUGUUCCCCCUUCAAGUAUCUGUACUGAUGGCUUUGCAUCUUGACACUUGAAUUCUGGCCAAGUAAGCAGGAAGGGCUGAGCCUAAAAAAGCAGCAGAUCCGUCCGUCUGCCUCCUCUGCUUUUGUUUCCCCAAAUCUUUGUUACUCUCCCUGCAGACACGAUACCAUUUCACCAGUAAAGCAAGACCAGCUCUCCAAGCAAGACACAGAGUUCUGGCACCGGACGAGAGAUGUUGUGUCUUUCAGUAAUGUUAUUUUACCUUUGAGUUUUUUGGGUUCUAAUAUGCUCAUAUAUAGGCUUUGCUCUUCCACUCUCUACCACCAGGUAGCUCUGUUCUCACUUCCUUGGGAUGGAAGUGUCAUGCUCUGUCCCGCUGGCAGGGAAAAUGGUGUCUUCAGAAGUAGUUUCAGUUACUCUCAUAUAUCAUCAAAGUAGGAGUAUGCUUAACGUUUGGGGGAAAGAAAACCCAACAAAGUUUCAUAUGAAACUGGAAGAUUUAAUGGUAAGGGACUUGGAAGAAAGGGAGAGCAUACAGGCAUUGCCUUUUCUAUUGUUUCUUUGAUUGUCACUCCAGGUUGAUAUACAAAUGAACACUAAAAGACCUCUCUCCCUUAAUGCCUUUUCUGGAAAAGUGGUGGGUUCAGAUAUCCAUCACAACCUCUAGAUGGAUAAAAUGGAGAAAAGAGGGACAUAGCUGCACAGCGCUCAUUGUUCUAUUGCUUACUGGGCAAUACCAGCAGCAGGUGACAACAUUUCGUGCUUUGGGACAAAGAAUUUUACUGUACAUUUACUGCAAGUUAACGGAUCUCAAAGAUGAUCCACUGAGCAAGGAGCUGUCUGAGGAUGAUCAGUUUAGAAAUGGCUGUGUAGGUCUGUGUAUCCAAAUGUAGGACUGCCAUCAGGUUACACCUGCUCUAUGACAGAUUUCAGCUGUGGAAGUUUUCAUGUCAAGCAUUACUCAUUCUGGUAGAGGUAUAGGCUUGAUGAAGUCACUGCACCUGAGCUGGCUAGGAAGUCUGCUGCUUAACCCACUCGUUGAUCAGUUGGUGAGCAAUGGCCUGCUUGGGAGGGAACCAGGGUAAAAAAUUUCCAUUGUCUUGCUUUGCAGAUUUGGGUUCUCGCUUGAGACCCUCCAUGACUUCCUCCAGGCCAAACCAGCGGGCUUCCUCCAGCUCCAGGCUGUUCAUACUGAUCUGGAAAGAAUUAGGGGGGGGUAGCAGUUCCUUAAAUCAGCUUUAAAUGUGGGCAGCAGUCCCUUGUUCUUGCACCCACAAGGAUCCCAUGCUGGAAUUAACUGUUGAUACCAGCACAGGAGAGGACGUGACUGCACACCAUUGUUUCCUUAGGGAAGCCACGAGUCAGUUAGCCCCGUUCCAUCAUGGCAUUGGCCUGCAAAGUACUAGUGUCUGAGCACCAUAAUUAACGUAGCAGAAACUGCAUGUUCUACAGUGGAUAAUGUUCUGAAUAUUAGAAUGUAACUGCUCUGCAAAGUUAAGAGGAAAAAAAUGUAGAGGCGUUGUGCUCUGGGCUUGUACAUUCAGUGACCUGUGCAAAAUUUUGCAUGUUACAACAGAAGCAAUCAUUAUUUUCUAGUCUCUUCCUCACUUGUAGGAAGCUAGCUGGAAAAAGCAUUUAGAGAGGGAGCUGAUGCUAUCCAAGCUAAAGUCUGUGGGCCAAAAGAGAUUCUGCUAUGUAAAGCUGGCAUUGAAAUGCCUUGAAGGAACCUGAGUCCACUCACCUCCAACUGCUGUCCCCUCACCAAUGCAUGACAAGCUAUCAUUAAGCAGCUGCUGGGGAAGGGCCAGUGCUGGGAUGCUGAGUACCAGAGUGACUCCACCUCCAGGCCCACCUCUUCUGCCACCUCUCGUCGGGCUGUCUCCUCCACAGCUUCACCUAGAAGCAAACAUAUUUGAGUAAGGGCAGGGUGGCAUCAGGGCAGCGAACCGUGGCAAGAAAAGGUAGGUACACUCAUUUCUGAGGUGUUCCAGCCCUGACUGUCAAGCAUGAGAAGGAGCUCUGGUUGUGCUGACCUGGGAAUGCUUAUGUAUUGAAUUGAGCAUCUUGCUGCCAGUGCUUACCUCCCUUAACCAAAGCCAUCAGAGACACUUUUGGUUUUGUCUGUAUGCAGCCAGAGGACAGAAUGUGGGGCUGCCCCUCUUUGUUUCCCUUUUUAAGCCACUUUCCCUCCUGUAACUAAGGGUCACAAGUCUGGGGUUUCUUUCUGAGCCAGAUGGUACAAGAUACAAAAUGGACCAAGAAGUAUCUGGGGCUUCUAUUCUGGGAAGUCUUACACUUAAAUUUACUACCAGAGACUACAGCAACUGAUACAUACUCAUAAUUCACCCAUUCUCUUCACAUAUAUAUUAUUUUGAACCCUAACUGAAUAGCGAUGCUGAGCCAAUCCUUAUUUUUGUGGUAUCAACCACGCAUCACUCAUCUUUCGUGAGCAGGCCCUUGGUUGAUGUCACACAGCUCUGCAUCUGAGGGCACCGUGCUGGACAAGAGGCCGCCUUACCUAUGUCGCAGAAGCCAGACAGAGCGGUGUACAUCCCCUGAGGAAACGAGGGCUGUCGUGCAAGGAGGCAGCGGCUGCCAUCAGACACCAAGAUGAUAACUACUGGAGACAUCUAGAAAAUGCACCCAUGAGCAAAGGAAGGAGUUCAGAUCAAACAUGUAAGUGCAAGUGGCUGGGGGUGCAUGCUGUCCGUGUGGCCCAGCAGUGACCUUGUGCUUACCUGUGCUGCUCAGGUGCCUACCUGUGGGUAAUAAGUUAUUCCGCUGGCGUGACACACGCGCUUGCUGCCAGCUACAUUCUUCUGAGUCGGCUGCCCAGUUUUGCUACAGUACUGGUGGGAAUCGUGCCACCGGAGAAGGGCCUGGGCCUGUGAUGAAGGAAAUACAGAUCUAUGGACAGCUGGAGCCAGGAGAUGAUUCAGAGCAGUCUCCCUGAGUGAUGCUUUGCUGUUUUCUCCCCAGCAUGCUGUUACGGGCGUGAACUCUGAUUACAUUUGGAAGCCUCUAUAAAGUAAAUGAAAUACGGGUUUUGAUAAAGGGGUCUUCUGCAAUUGGUGUUUUAUGUUUACUGCCCUAGCAUCCAAAUUUCAUCAUUUUAAGAGAAGGCGGAGGAAGAGUUGUUCCUUAUUGGGAUAUAAUGGGAGCAUUAAUGAGAACUGAACUAUCCGAAGGAGAUGCCCCAAAUACCUUUUGGGAAAAACAACCCAAGCAUAAAUGUUACAGAGCAGGAAAAGAAACAUUAAUUAUUUCUGCUUAUCUGUUUGGACGCCUUAUUUUCUGUCUUUAGGUCUUCCAAACAGGGCAUCUUGAGAGUAAUUACAGCAUCCUUGUACCUAGUUGGCUAAAAACUGACUGUAGAUACUUCCACAAUACAUAUUAAGUCAUAAAACAACGUGGGAGACAAAGAGAUGUUAGGAAUAGUAACUUCUUAAGGUUACAAAUCCUGCACUGUACCGAGGCCAGCAAGGAAGAAGAAUCCUCAUCCACUACAAAGAGAGCCUUUCGUAAGUCAGUGAACGAUCCCUUGAGCUCAGCCUCAAUGACUGAUCUUUCCAAGGCUCCUGCUUAAAAAACAACACAUCUGUGAUCUCAUGAACUGCAGUUCUUAUCCCAGCUUUACACCCUUCAUUGUUGCGGUAUACAAUUUCUGGAAGUUCCCCUGGAAGUGACAUCAAUGGUACACAUUUCCAAACGUUAAGUGACCUGCAAACAGCCCACCUUUACAAACGCCCAGAGGAAUGGGAGUGCAGUUCAGCCACGGUUUGGCUCAAUCACUGCGCUCACAGCAGCUCCUACAGAGGAUCGACUGAGUCCUCUUGGCAGUAAAUAAUCACCCAGCAUGGAGAAGGGACGCUGCCUCAGCAGCGUCUUCAUCUCAGUGCAUCAAAUGUGAUGCCAACACAGAUGGAAGAGGAGUCAUCCCAACCUAAAUCCAGGGCAAAGUGUGGUACGUGCUCAUCUGAACAACCGAUCAGCACCGACUUCUCUAUCCACUGUUCAGUCUCUUUGAAUUUCUCCAGGAUCCUUUUCAUUUCUAAAGAGCAGGAGAAAGGGGAAGGAAAAGCCGUAAGGAAAGUUAAUUUGUAUGACUGUGAAGCUCUUUCUGCAUUGCCAAGGCUUGUGCAAUCUGGGCUUGAGGCAUGGUGCUCGUGCGAGAGCAGUGGUGGAGACCAGAAGCGUAGCUUCCUUCCUAGAUGUUGCAUCUUUUGACCGUGUCAAGCUAAAGAUGCGAAUGCUUUUAUGCUUGAGGAACAGCUGUCCAUUCCAUUUCUCUCUUAUGCCAGCUGAUACUUUUCUCUCAAAACUUCUCCCUGCUUUGAUGGUAGAAUUCUGUCUGUUACCCUGCCAGCUCUUCAGAAGUUAUGGUCCCACAUACUUAAAAUUUAUCAUCUCAAAGCAGCUCAGGCAUAUUUUGAUACCAUAUGCAUGUGAAGAACAUGAGCUCACGUCAAUGUGCUAAGGUUUUAACUCCAAAUAGUCUUUUUUGGUAGCAAACAGCAUGUUGUAUAUAACAGGAUGUUCCAUGCACGUCUCGGUGGAUUUUUAACCCAUGUAAGGUGUUGUUUAUUGCAAAUGACCCUGUAUCAUUUGAGCUGCGUGACCUGCAAGAUGCCCUGACUGGACACCUGCUUACCUGCUGCACUGAGCUGUGGUAUCAAAUAUUUCUCCUCGACUUUCCGCAGGAAAGGUAGAGUGUGACCUGCAAAAGAGAGCAGCUCUUCUAUACGCUGCUUGAUAAAUCGCAGCCAUAAUCAGCACCAAUGGGAAGCUGUCUCUGCCUGAAAAGAGAAGCACAGAGCAUAACACAGUGGCCUUGAAAAGGUAAAUGUGAUUUAAAAGGUGCAGUAACCCAAUGGUAUGUGCUUUUACAGAACCUAGAGAAUGCCGGCAUUUGCUUUCCAAAAUAAGCGUGCACAGAAGGUCGUAAAGCUCUACAAGAUGAGGUUAAAUAUUCCUCUCUGAACUCCCGUACCAGUGGGGUAAAGAAGUGAGAGUGGCUGCUUUCUUGUUUGUUUUCUACGCAGUUGUAAUGGCCCCCAUCCAACUGAACGUCCUAUUGCAGCAAGCAGCAGAUCUGUGGGAAAGGCAUUGAUGCCAGAAGAGAAUGAAAGACAAAAUAUCGGCGGCGGAAGAGAAUUCCCAGAGCUCGAUGAGAGGCAGAAGUUGCAGCUGAACUGGAUCACCUCCAACUGAGAACCGCUUUUGUGCCAAAGGAUCCUACCACAUUGUCAGCUCAGGCAGUCACAGACUGCCGCCUGAACUCAGCUCCAGAAAACAGCCAUCUCGGGCAUUCAUCUGAAACAAAAAUGAGCUAUGAUUCACAAUCCUCAGCAAUUAUGUCGAGUAUUUCACUUUCCAACCACAGCUCUCAAAGCUCUCUAAGGAGGAAGUUGCGUUUCCUUAAUCCUACAGGCUGGGACGUGUAAGCUGUGCCAAGGAAGAGGCGGCGAGUCCUUCCUCUGAGGAAGGUCGGUGACGGCUCCUGAGCUGGGUGGUGCCUGAGCAGAGGCUCCUCUCCUUGCAGGCAGGCAGUCUCUGUGCCCAAUGCCAUGGAGGUGUCACAGUGGCUCCUGACAUCUCUGCCUACCCAGCAGGAGGUGGAUCGAGACCAGCCACUUCGCAAAUGCUUUGCCCACUUACUGCGCUCGGAGCAGAAGGCGUGCUGUCAGCAGUAGCAGGAAACAGCUCCGAAAGGCUGCCGUUGACCUCAGCUGGAAGCACUGCUCCUCCAGCAAGCAGAGCAGACAGCAGCUGUCUGACCACACUGAGUCGCUCUUCCCCCAGCAGGAGCUCUGGGAAAUGUAGUCCGGGAACCCAAGGCUCAGUUGGGUGGCUGACAGGGUCUGCUCCAGCUUUUCCUGCAGCUGUGGAGCUGCCCGGGGACGAGCCCUUCCUGCACGCUUCGUUCUGCCAGAAAUCCACAUGGUGUAAUUUGCCAAGCAAAAGCUAUUAUGGGAGCAACGCUACUGCAAUAAUUCUGAAAGUAUUACUUCCCGUUUGUUUAGUUUAUUUUUUUUCUUUGCAAGCUUCUCUGUUUUCUGCGUCAGCAGCAUAAGGGCAUUGUUUGAAGUUAAGGACCGUGUGUCCUCUAAGAGGAAAAUAUGCCAACAGCUGAACACAGCUGAGGAAUGGAGCUGCUGAGUGUUCUAGCAGCCAGACCCGCAGCUGAGUUUGCAGCGGCUCUGAUUAGAAAGUGCCCUUUGCCAGGAGAGAUGUUGGAAUAACAACAUGUAUUUUUCAUGCCUUCAUAACUGCAUACAUUUCUCUGGGACUGAGAACGUUACCCUGAGCUGGAACCUACCUGCCUGUAUUAAGGAGAGAGGGAAUUUUAUCAACAUGUAAAUGUUUUCAUUAGCUGUUUGGUGUGAUGUUCUAAUUGAGGAGUUGCCAUGUAACUUGAGAGCAUGGCUUGUAAAACGUAAUAAGUAGAGCAUGCAGGGAAAUAAUAAGUAGAAUAUGCAGGGAAAUGCCACUGGUUGUUGGCAUUGCUUAUGAGUUUAAGUGUAAUUAUGCUAUUUGUGAGCCUGCUCUGCUUCAGGAAGCACGAUCUUAUUAACCCACAGUGCUAAUUGGAUUAAUGGACAAAACAUCUUCCCUUAAUAAGAUAGAGCACCGAAGUGUGAUCUCCAGCGUAAACCCACCCUGCUGUUAAAACGAGCCAGUAGAUCUGCUGAGCCACUAACAGUGAUGGUAGUAAUCUCGCUAGCUCCUGCUCUUCUGUCUUGCCAGCUGCUCCCAACAAGAGGACACGAGCACUGGGACUGCCAUCAGCCCACUAUUGCAAAGCAACUGCUAAUUGCUGCCAGUGCAUCAAGCUAGCGAGCUCACACUGAAAAUGUGUGGUCGCGUCACAAGGAACCUCUUGCUAAAAAAUGUUUCUUUCCCAGGAAAAGGCUGGGGAAAGACAAACCACUUCUUCAAACAGAAAGUUAAUGAGUAGUCUUUUCCUCUGUCAUUACGCUGUUGAUACAAACUAACCUAUAAAUGGUGAGGCUGCCCAGCCCGGUGGUGGUGCUCUGAUCCUACAGGCAGCCGAGGUCAGGCUGGAGGGGGCUCAGAGCUCCUGCUGGAGCCGUUGGUGACCCUGUUCGUUGCAGGGGGAGUUGGACCACAUGGCCUUUAAGCGUCUGUUCCAACGGUAAGGAUGUGAUAAAGGCUUGGAUUCAUUUUAUCACAGCUUCAUUUUGUCAGCAGCCUCAUCUUUGGCCUUGAUGCUACUGGUUAAUAAACAGAUGGGCCACGUCAGCCUGAGAAAAUCCCGUUAAAAGUGAAGUUAAAGAUUAAAGAGUUAAAGCUUAGGAAGCUGAAGAGGCGUUGUUUUCAGGAGUGCUCCCGACACACCUCCACAAGCUGCUGCUCUACCUCUGCCCGCGUGUCCCGGGCUCCCCGCCUGAGGGCUUUCAAGCUGGAGGCUGGCGGACCGCUCCCCGCUUCUGUUUCUGUUGGAGAGAGACCAACGCGAGAGUAAGGGAGGCUUAUUUCUAACGGACGGUUCCGCUGGACCCCGACUCUCCUCCCGCUGCGGCACGGCACUGGCAGCGCAGGCCCUAUCCGCACGGGAACCGGCGGC